CCAGCCCCAGACUCUCCUGGUCCCCACCUGCCCGUUCUUGCAGAGAUCUGCCCACAUGCUGGUGCCAUCCCCUCCUCGCAUCAGGACGUGCACACAGAGAGACAGCACUCAAUACUGGACAGAUCCCUGGAUUUCAAGUCAAGAGACUGAUGUCCAACUUCCUGCUCAACCACUUAGUGGCUGUGGGACCUUGGGAGCUGUUGGAAGAGACAUCUCUCCUCUCUGACCGCCCUUCCCUUUUCAGCCAG
Molecule: non-coding RNA, 248 nt
Organism: Phascolarctos cinereus (koala)
Lineage: Eukaryota; Metazoa; Chordata; Mammalia; Diprotodontia; Phascolarctidae
Source: RefSeq, a predicted model, not a curated record